RNAcentral lists this ribosomal RNA (526 nucleotides) under uncultured bacterium. RNAcentral describes it as "partial 16S ribosomal RNA". It matches the Rfam family "Bacterial small subunit ribosomal RNA", at positions 29 to 523 of the family's 1533-position model. The record is from RNAcentral.
AGUGAACGCCGGCGGCGUGCUUAACACAUGCAAGUCGAAUGAAGAGCGAUGGAAGCUUGCUUCUAUCAAUCUUAGUGGCGAACGGGUGAGUAACGCGUAAUCAACCUGCCCUUCAGAGGGGGACAACAGUUGGAAACGACUGCUAAUACCGCAUACGAUCUAACCUCGGCAUCGAGGAUAGAUGAAAGGUGGCCUCUACAUGUAAGCUAUCACUGAAGGAGGGGAUUGCGUCUGAUUAGCUAGUUGGAGGGGUAACGGCCCACCAAGGCGAUGAUCAGUAGCCGGUCUGAGAGGAUGAACGGCCACAUUGGGACUGAGACACGGCCCAGACUCCUACGGGAGGCAGCAGUGGGGAAUCUUCCGCAAUGGACGAAAGUCUGACGGAGCAACGCCGCGUGAGUGAUGACGGCCUUCGGGUUGUAAAGCUCUGUUAAUCGGGACGAAAGGCCUUCUUGCGAAUAGUGAGAAGGAUUGACGGUACCGGAAUAGAAAGCCACGGCUAACUACGUGCCAGCCGCCGCAGUAA